RNAcentral lists this transfer RNA (77 nucleotides) under Atopobium minutum. RNAcentral's name for it is "tRNA-Pro". It matches the Rfam family "tRNA". Rfam says of the family: Transfer RNA (tRNA) molecules are approximately 80 nucleotides in length. Lineage: Bacteria; Bacillati; Actinomycetota; Coriobacteriia; Coriobacteriales; Atopobiaceae. The record is from RNAcentral. RNAcentral also lists the same sequence under 18 other names.
CGGGGUGUGGCGCAGCUUGGUAGCGCAUCUGCUUUGGGAGCAGAGGGUCGCUGGUUCGAAUCCAGUCACCCCGACCA